This is a long non-coding RNA of Taeniopygia guttata (zebra finch), 664 nucleotides long. RefSeq lists it as uncharacterized. Lineage: Eukaryota; Metazoa; Chordata; Aves; Passeriformes; Estrildidae. The record is from RefSeq and is a predicted model, not a curated record.
AAGGGAAGGGAAGGGAAGGGAUGACCCUCUCUUUCUGUUUCAUAUCUCUAUCUCCAUUACCUCCUGCCCUUUGGAGGUUCUCCCUGUGCUCCCCACCACCAGAGUCUCUUUCCAUUUACCCAGCACCUUUUGGUUUUUGUCUCCCCUCAGCCCCUUGCUUUUUACUGACCUCCCACACAGUGCUGCCAUCACUGCUGGCUCAGAAGGAGGCCCCAGAGCUGCUGAUGUGUGUGUCCAGGGGCGCUAUCCCUCUUCCAGCAACUUAGUGACUGUAAUUAUUGAAAAACCUGAGAUGCAGUUGGCAGAAGCAGCAGGGGAAAUGGUGUCGUGAUGGUGUGAAUACUCACUAGCAGCAGCAGUGGGUGGAGGCAGCUCCAGGGACCGCUGCACACCUGCGGGGCUGCUCCCGUGCCCAUCUGCGCCUUCCUCCUGACCCUGGGGGGAAGUGUUUAAGCACAACCAUCCCUGGGUGGCCUGCUCUGGCUGACACUGCCGGGGCAGGACAAGGGGAUGAGCCAGGUGACCGGGUGUCUGACCAGUGGGAAUGUCAGAGGUUGGCUUCUGGGUGACUGGGCUGGGUGGACCUCCUCAUGCACCAACACUCCCCACUAUGAGCUUUCAUGGGAACAUGUGGUAGGUAGAGGAAUAAAGCAGAGGCAAAACA